Molecule: ribosomal RNA, 454 nt
Filed under: uncultured Porphyromonadaceae bacterium
Lineage: Bacteria; Pseudomonadati; Bacteroidota; Bacteroidia; Bacteroidales; Porphyromonadaceae
Description: partial 16S ribosomal RNA
Rfam family: Bacterial small subunit ribosomal RNA
Source: RNAcentral
ACGGAAGGCAGCAGUGAGGAAUAUUGGUCAAUGGGCGAGAGCCUGAACCAGCCAAGUAGCGUGAAGGAUGACUGCCCUAUGGGUUGUAAACUUCUUUUGUUCGGGAAUAAAGGAGCCUACGCGUAGGCUUUUGCAUGUACCGUUCGAAUAAGCAUCGGCUAAUUCCGUGCCAGCAGCCGCGGUAAUACGGAAGAUGCGAGCGUUAUCCGGAUUUAUUGGGUUUAAAGGGUGCGCAGGCGGCACGUUAAGUCAGCGGUGAAAUGUCGGGGCUCAACCCGGGCACUGCCGUUGAAACUGGCGAGCUUGAGUACGGAUGAAGUCGGCGGAAUGUGAUGUGUAGCGGUGAAAUGCUUAGAUAUGUCACAGAACACCGAUUGCGAAGGCAGCUGACUAAUCCGCAACUGACGCUCAGGCACGAAAGCGUGGGGAUCGAACAGGAUUAGAUACCCUGGUA